GAAUGCGUCUCGGUCAAAGCUCAUCCUUGUGGUGGUGCUGGACUGGCGUUUCCUAUCUUCCGAUAGUGGGGUCAAACUCGCUUCGGAUCGUUUACUUUGAAAAAAUUAGAGUGUUCAAAGCAGGCGUAACCUUGCCAUUGAAUAUUACAGCAUGGAAUAAUAGAAUAGGACUUUGGUCUCCUUUGUUGGUUUGAGGGGCUAAAGUA
This 206-nucleotide ribosomal RNA is filed under the name uncultured fungus. Its description in RNAcentral is "partial small subunit ribosomal RNA". The stretch from base 82 to 206 matches the Rfam family "Eukaryotic small subunit ribosomal RNA", at positions 742 to 864 of the family's 1831-position model. The record is from RNAcentral. Lineage: Eukaryota; Fungi.